AUCGAUAAGUACUUUUUAUGAGUGUUUGUGCCUAUUAAAACUAAUACCUACUCACUCUUACUUUGUUUGGUAAAAUGAAACAGUUGUGUCUGUGACAUAUUAAGUAAUCAAGAUAAUUUAAUUUAAAAUACCUAGUUGGUUUUAUUAAAUAAAAUUUAUUUCAUUUUAUUGGCUGUUGGUUGUCGGAACAAGGGGCACAAAAUGGUGCAAGAUGAAUUAUUAUCACCAUGGAGCAGACAAAAGUCUAUUAGUUUCAUCGUUCUAACAGUGUUGUUUGUUGUUUGGGCUUGCAUAUUCUUUCCAUUGUUAUUAAGGCAGCAGUCGAAUGACGAUAUGGACAAUAUGGAUAUGAAGUCGACCACAAUGGGUUCGACGGAAAUGACGGGAAUGUCGUCGACCACAAAGGACAUGGUCCACGAUCAUCAUCAUCGUUAACUACAAAAACUAUUUAUAUUUAUAUUUAAAGAAAUAUACUAAACAUAUUUUUAUUACGAGAUGUAUGUGAAUUAUUGUAAAGUUUUGUACUGUAUUGUAUAUCUUUAGUACUUAAGCACUUAUUGACCAAAUAAAUAGUUGUAUUAUA
Molecule: unclassified non-coding RNA, 583 nt
Filed under: Diabrotica virgifera virgifera (western corn rootworm)
Lineage: Eukaryota; Metazoa; Arthropoda; Insecta; Coleoptera; Chrysomelidae
Description: uncharacterized LOC114335168
Source: RNAcentral